Molecule: ribosomal RNA, 467 nt
Filed under: uncultured bacterium
Lineage: Bacteria
Description: partial 16S ribosomal RNA
Rfam family: Bacterial small subunit ribosomal RNA
Source: RNAcentral
GACGAACGCUGGCGGCGUGCUUAACACAUGCAAGUCGAACGGAAAGGCCCUGCUUUUGUGGGGUGCUCGAGUGGCGAACGGGUGAGUAACACGUGAGUAACCUGCCCUUGACUUUGGGAUAACUUCAGGAAACUGGGGCUAAUACCGGAUAGGAGCUCCUGCUGCAUGGUGGGGGUUGGAAAGUUUCGGCGGUUGGGGAUGGACUCGCGGCUUAUCAGCUUGUUGGUGGGGUAGUGGCUUACCAAGGCUUUGACGGGUAGCCGGCCUGAGGGGGUGACCGGCCCAUUUGGGACGGGAAUACGGCCCGACUCCCUCCGGGAGGCAGAGGGGGGGAAUAUGCCCAAAGGGCCGGACGCCUGUGCAACAAACCCCCGGUGGGGGAGACCGGCCUUCGGGUUGAAACCCCUUUUCCCCGGUGACGAAGCGUAAGUGACGGUAAUUGGUAAAGAAGCCCCGGCUAACUACUG